Molecule: long non-coding RNA, 428 nt
Filed under: Bos taurus (domestic cattle)
Lineage: Eukaryota; Metazoa; Chordata; Mammalia; Artiodactyla; Bovidae
Description: long non-coding RNA NONBTAT010691
Source: RNAcentral
CACCUUUCAGUGACUAAGUCCAAACUGCCAAAACCAGGAUUUAUGUACAUCUUAACAACACUGCACAAAUUAUCAGUAUUUUAUUGUGUUUGGGGCUCAAUAAUCUGAUUGUGAACAGAUCUAAUUUAAAACUGACAUUUCAUUCAUAAAUGUAAAUCUAAAAAAAAAAAGCCAAAUGCAAAAAUUUAGAUUAUUUGAAUUUGAAAUGAAGGAAGGAAAAAAUACUGCAUCUUGUUCCCCGAUAUUUAUUUUUAUUCAUGACCAUUCCUUCCUAGAAAUUGCUAUCUGAAGCUUUUGACAUUUCUGUGGUAGGUACAGUAUUUCAAGUGUGUCCAUGAAAUAAGUUAGCUGAAACAAAAUAAAAUAUCUCCUCCUAGUACACUCUGAUAUUGUGCAUGUCAAUGCAAAUACCAAAGCAUGACAGACUG